AUGUCUCGCCAUCGUCGUCAGCCCUCUCGAGCUAUCCCGUCGGAGAUAUUCGCCGCCGAUGACAUCUUCUCCAAACCAUUCGACUUGGCUCAGGUCAUUACCAUCCAAGAAGAUGAACCAACCACGGCUCCUCCUCCUUCUCCUUCUCCUUCUCCUGUAACCACCACCAACUCCACUCCCGCCGUCACUACUUCUCCGGUGAAAUCAAACUCGCCGGCGGUUGGAAAAUCUGCCUGA
Non-coding RNA from Vicia faba (fava bean), 237 nucleotides. Lineage: Eukaryota; Viridiplantae; Streptophyta; Magnoliopsida; Fabales; Fabaceae. The record is from the annotation of a GenBank genome assembly.